This 368-nucleotide unclassified non-coding RNA is filed under the name Hevea brasiliensis (rubber tree). The record is from RNAcentral. Lineage: Eukaryota; Viridiplantae; Streptophyta; Magnoliopsida; Malpighiales; Euphorbiaceae.
AGAUCUUAAUGCGCUUUGGAGCAAGCUUGUCAACGGAAUUUAUACUUCCUUCUGGAAUGCCAAACAAGGAAGACGCAGAUCUUAGAUAUGGCAAGGAUUACUAGUCGGGAGGGAGGCCAUCAAGGAUGGGGUGAGAAUGAAUAUUGAAGACAGGCUCUUGACUCUCAUGUGGUCAGAUUUGUGGAUUCGCUCUGCUGAAGAUUUUAAAGUUCAAAAACUGGCAAAUUAUCCAGCAAGAGUGAAUAAAGUUGCAGAUCUUAUUGACCAUGGAAAGUUGAAAUGGAAGCUAAUUUAGUUAGAAGCUUAUUCAGUCCCACUAAUGCUCGAGUAGUGCUGUCAAUCCCAAUUACCCCUUGGAGAUGUCAAGA